This 253-nucleotide ribosomal RNA is filed under the name uncultured bacterium. RNAcentral's name for it is "partial 16S ribosomal RNA". It matches the Rfam family "Bacterial small subunit ribosomal RNA", at positions 524 to 776 of the family's 1533-position model. The record is from RNAcentral.
UACGGGGGGGGCAAGCGUUGUUCGGAUUUACUGGGCGUAAAGGGCGCGUAGGCGGCGCAACAAGUCACUUGUGAAAUCUCCGGGCUUAACCCGGAGCGGCCAAGUGAUACUGUCGUGCUAGAGUGCGGAAGGGGCUACUGGAAUUCUCGGUGUAGCGGUGAAAUGCGUAGAUAUCGAGAGGAACACCUGCGGCGAAGGCGGGUAGCUGGGCCGACACUGACGCUGAGGCGCGAAAGCGUGGGGAGCGAACAGG